RNAcentral lists this ribosomal RNA (2322 nucleotides) under Klebsiella pneumoniae. Its description in RNAcentral is "partial 23S ribosomal RNA". It matches the Rfam family "Bacterial large subunit ribosomal RNA", at positions 514 to 2823 of the family's 2925-position model. Lineage: Bacteria; Pseudomonadati; Pseudomonadota; Gammaproteobacteria; Enterobacterales; Enterobacteriaceae. The record is from RNAcentral.
GCGAAAAGAACCCCGGCGAGGGGAGUGAAAAAGAACCUGAAACCGUGUACGUACAAGCAGUGGGAGCACCUUCGGGUGUGACUGCGUACCUUUUGUAUAAUGGGUCAGCGACUUAUAUUCUGUAGCAAGGUUAACCGUAUAGGGGAGCCGCAGGGAAACCGAGUCUUAACUGGGCGUUAAGUUGCAGGGUAUAGACCCGAAACCCGGUGAUCUAGCCAUGGGCAGGUUGAAGGUUGGGUAACACUAACUGGAGGACCGAACCGACUAAUGUUGAAAAAUUAGCGGAUGACUUGUGGCUGGGGGUGAAAGGCCAAUCAAACCGGGAGAUAGCUGGUUCUCCCCGAAAGCUAUUUAGGUAGCGCCUCGUGAAUUCAUCUUCGGGGGUAGAGCACUGUUUCGGCUAGGGGGUCAUCCCGACUUACCAACCCGAUGCAAACUACGAAUACCGAAGAAUGUUAUCACGGGAGACACACGGCGGGUGCUAACGUCCGUCGUGAAGAGGGAAACAACCCAGACCGCCAGCUAAGGUCCCAAAGUCAUGGUUAAGUGGGAAACGAUGUGGGAAGGCACAGACAGCCAGGAUGUUGGCUUAGAAGCAGCCAUCAUUUAAAGAAAGCGUAAUAGCUCACUGGUCGAGUCGGCCUGCGCGGAAGAUGUAACGGGGCUAAACCAUGCACCGAAGCUGCGGCAGCGACACUAUGUGUUGUUGGGUAGGGGAGCGUUCUGUAAGCCUGCGAAGGUGACCUGUGAGGGUUGCUGGAGGUAUCAGAAGUGCGAAUGCUGACAUAAGUAACGAUAAAGCGGGUGAAAAGCCCGCUCGCCGGAAGACCAAGGGUUCCUGUCCAACGUUAAUCGGGGCAGGGUGAGUCGACCCCUAAGGCGAGGCCGAAAGGCGUAGUCGAUGGGAAACAGGUUAAUAUUCCUGUACUUGGUGUUACUGCGAAGGGGGGACGGAGAAGGCUAUGUUAGCCGGGCGACGGUUGUCCCGGUUUAAGCAUGUAGGCUGGUUGUCCAGGCAAAUCCGGAUAAUCAAGGCUGAGGUGUGAUGACGAGGUACUACGGUGCUGAAGUAACAAAUGCCCUGCUUCCAGGAAAAGCCUCUAAGCAUCAGGUAACAUCAAAUCGUACCCCAAACCGACACAGGUGGUCAGGUAGAGAAUACCAAGGCGCUUGAGAGAACUCGGGUGAAGGAACUAGGCAAAAUGGUGCCGUAACUUCGGGAGAAGGCACGCUGGUGUGUAGGUGAAGUCCCUGCGGAUGGAGCUGAGACCAGUCGAAGAUACCAGCUGGCUGCAACUGUUUAUUAAAAACACAGCACUGUGCAAACACGAAAGUGGACGUAUACGGUGUGACGCCUGCCCGGUGCCGGAAGGUUAAUUGAUGGGGUUAUCCGUAAGGAGAAGCUCUUGAUCGAAGCCCCGGUAAACGGCGGCCGUAACUAUAACGGUCCUAAGGUAGCGAAAUUCCUUGUCGGGUAAGUUCCGACCUGCACGAAUGGCGUAAUGAUGGCCAGGCUGUCUCCACCCGAGACUCAGUGAAAUUGAACUCGCUGUGAAGAUGCAGUGUACCCGCGGCAAGACGGAAAGACCCCGUGAACCUUUACUAUAGCUUGACACUGAACAUUGAGCCUUGAUGUGUAGGAUAGGUGGGAGGCUUUGAAGCGUGGACGCCAGUCUGCGUGGAGCCAACCUUGAAAUACCACCCUUUAAUGUUUGAUGUUCUAACGUUGGCCCCUGACCGGGGUUGCGGACAGUGUCUGGUGGGUAGUUUGACUGGGGCGGUCUCCUCCCAAAGCGUAACGGAGGAGCACGAAGGUUAGCUAAUCCUGGUCGGACAUCAGGAGGUUAGUGCAAUGGCAUAAGCUAGCUUGACUGCGAGCGUGACGGCGCGAGCAGGUGCGAAAGCAGGUCAUAGUGAUCCGGUGGUUCUGAAUGGAAGGGCCAUCGCUCAACGGAUAAAAGGUACUCCGGGGAUAACAGGCUGAUACCGCCCAAGAGUUCAUAUCGACGGCGGUGUUUGGCACCUCGAUGUCGGCUCAUCACAUCCUGGGGCUGAAGUAGGUCCCAAGGGUAUGGCUGUUCGCCAUUUAAAGUGGUACGCGAGCUGGGUUUAGAACGUCGUGAGACAGUUCGGUCCCUAUCUGCCGUGGGCGCUGGAGAAUUGAGGGGGGCUGCUCCUAGUACGAGAGGACCGGAGUGGACGCAUCACUGGUGUUCGGGUUGUCAUGCCAAUGGCACUGCCCGGUAGCUAAAUGCGGAAGAGAUAAGUGCUGAAAGCAUCUAAGCACGAAACUUGCCCCGAGAUGAGUUCUCCCUGAGACUU